Xiphophorus couchianus (Monterrey platyfish) is the source of this 865-nucleotide long non-coding RNA. RefSeq lists it as uncharacterized. NCBI's taxonomy places the organism in Eukaryota, Metazoa, Chordata, Actinopteri, Cyprinodontiformes, Poeciliidae. The record is from RefSeq and is a predicted model, not a curated record. The transcript has 4 exons.
AAUGUGUUCAGAGUGCUGAUGCUUCCUCCCUCUCUUUGUGUGGCUGCAUGUUUGAGGGGCUAAACAGCGCCACCUCCAGGUCGGAAAAGUAGUGAUUACAAGCAGAUUAAACACAUACAAGACACUUUAUAGCAAUCUCAAGAAUCAAAAGACACAUUUCCUGGUCAUUCGCAGGCUUCUGCUGCAAGAAGUAUUUGAAGAUUUGACACACAUCAAUCUGUCUUGGUGGCAUCGGCAAUACAGCGGCGUUCUAAAUACGAAGACAAAUCUGGGGCAAAACACACCUACACAUGCUUUAACACCAACAGAUGAGUCAUAGUGAUGAUGAAAAUUUGAUAGCCUGCCUGACGCUCUCGAUCCACAUUAUCCGUCUUUCAAGAUAAGAUCUCCCAGCCUCUGCUGAUAAAUAGUGACAGAAUGGCAGUUACAUGUGAGCGAGUUGAAACUUGACGAACGGUGAGGUUAGCGCUCCAAACACAGAACAAUCGAUUUAACCACAGGAGAACUAAUAGGUACAUAUUUGAAUCACACCCAGAAUAAAUCACAGCCAAAGGCAGAAAAACAGAAGAACAUUCCUGUUAGUAUUCAAAGAAAAAUGUUGAAUUAUAAUGUCUCUAACUUUUUUAAUUUAAAUGAUAAACUCUCAUUGCAAAGAAAAAAUUGUCACAUUUUUUAUUUUCCUCUUUAGUUGUUUUUUAACUAAAGAGGAAGCAUGUCACACAUUUCACCUAAGUAAUGGUGGGAAAGUCAGAAUUGGACAACUUACUUUACUACAGUAAAAGUAAAAUAUAACUGUCCAACAAAUUGUUCACCUAAGAGUAAGAAACUAUUUUUAAAACAUUAUCAAGUACCGAGUGACUGAUAA